Molecule: ribosomal RNA, 460 nt
Filed under: uncultured bacterium
Lineage: Bacteria
Description: partial 16S ribosomal RNA
Rfam family: Bacterial small subunit ribosomal RNA
Source: RNAcentral
CCUACGGGCGGCAGCAGUGAGGAAUAUUGGUCAAUGGACGAGAGUCUGAACCAGCCAAGUAGCGUGAAGGAUGACUGCCCUAUGGGUUGUAAACUUCUUUUAUAUGGGAAUAAAAUGUUCCACGUGUGGGAUUUUGUAUGUCCCAUAUGAAUAAGGAUCGGCUAACUCCGUGCCAGCAGCCGCGGUAAUACGGAGGAUCCGAGCGUUAUCCGGAUUUAUUGGGUUUAAAGGGAGCGUAGGUGGAUUGUUAAGUCAGUUGUGAAAGUUAGGGGCUCAACCGUGAAAUUGCAGUUGAAACUGGCAGUCUUGAGUACAGUAGAGGUGGGCGGAAUUCGUGGUGUAGCGGUGAAAUGCUUAGAUAUCACGAAGAACUCCGAUUGCGAAGGCAGUUCACUGGACUGCAACUGACGCUGAGGCUCGAAAGUGUGGGUAUCAAACAGGAUUAGAUACCCUUGUAGUC